Molecule: non-coding RNA, 85 nt
Organism: Acanthosepion pharaonis
Lineage: Eukaryota; Metazoa; Mollusca; Cephalopoda; Sepiida; Sepiidae
Source: the annotation of a GenBank genome assembly
CCCCCGUAUGAUCACCGAAGUUAAGCAACGUCGUGUCUGGUCAGUACCUAGAUGGGUGACCGCUUGAGAAUACCAGGUGCUGUAA